AAUGGGCGCAAGCCUGAUCCAGCCAUGCCGCGUGAGUGACGAAGGCCUUAGGGUUGUAAAGCUCUUUUGGCGGGGACGAUAAUGACGGUACCCGCAGAAUAAGCCCCGGCUAACUUCGUGCCAGCAGCCGCGGUAAUACGAAGGGGGCUAGCGUUGUUCGGAAUUACUGGGCGUAAAGCGCACGUAGGCGGAUUUGUUAGUCAGGGGUGAAAUCCCGGGGCUCAACCUCGGAACUGCCUUUGAUACUGCAAAUCUCGAGUCCGGAAGAGGUGAGUGGAAUUCCUAGUGUAGAGGUGAAAUUCGUAGAUAUUAGGAAGAACACCAGUGGCGAAGGCGGCUCACUGGUCCGGUACUGACGCUGAGGUGCGAAAGCGUGGGGAGCAAA
RNAcentral lists this ribosomal RNA (385 nucleotides) under uncultured bacterium. RNAcentral describes it as "bacterial SSU rRNA". It matches the Rfam family "Bacterial small subunit ribosomal RNA", at positions 370 to 772 of the family's 1533-position model. The record is from RNAcentral.